Molecule: long non-coding RNA, 1654 nt
Organism: Trichosurus vulpecula (common brushtail)
Lineage: Eukaryota; Metazoa; Chordata; Mammalia; Diprotodontia; Phalangeridae
Exons: 3
Source: RefSeq, a predicted model, not a curated record
AAACAGGCCAAAGUCCACUGAGGGCUACAAUGGGAUCCACAAAGCAAAGGCCAGAGAGGGCAUUAAGUGGAAACCCAGCCUAAAACAGAGGGGUCUGUCCGUUACAGACUCAGCUUCUCUGGCCUGCAGAGGCUGAUACCAUUGGCGAUGAGGUCUCCAGCAGCAGCUUUCAUGGCAGAGCUCCCAGGCUGGUUCCUGUUUUGUGGGAUCUUUCUGCCUGUGACUGUACUGCUCCUCCUUCUCAUUGCUUACUUCAGGAUCAAAUUGAUGGAGUUUAAUGCAGAAGUGGCCCAGGCUUCUGAUCCCCGGGACAUUAAGCAAGAUGACUAUCUCCAAUACCAGAGACUGAAGCAACAUGACAUUCAGAGAUCAGCCACAAAAACGAAAUGAGUUUAAAGGGAUACGUGCUGGGCUGGCAGAUAACCAGCAACAAAUUGCUCACAUCUAGGUAUAUAAAACAAAACCUCGAGGGAAACAAAAUGGUAAGAGGUUUGGCCUAUGUGCUAUCCAACACAAAAACAGCAACUGUCAACCGUAGGGCCUCAUCACUUUAUUUUCUCUGAGAUGCAGCUAAACAACGGUUUUUCUGAUUCACCAUCAACAGUGGUUUACUAAAAUACAGUGUGAAUUUUUAACAAGAAUUCUCCCUCUUUCUUCAAUACUUGGCUUCAGGGAAGAAAACAUCAAAUGAAUCUAUUUGAGUUUGGUGGUUUUAUAACUUCCAGGGACAAGUGUAAUUAUACACAAUAUUUACAGAGUAUCAUUGUCAACGGUUUGGUAUUUUAAAACACACACACACAUACACAUACAUCUUUGAAUUAAUAUUUACAUAAUCUUAAAGAAGCACAAGAUAUUACUUUGAUUUUACAUCUGAAGAAAAUGUGGCAGCAAGAUCAAAACGUCUUGCAAAAGAUGAGAAAGUCAGAAAGAGCUCCACGAACAAUCUCAGCCAAGGCUGGACCCGAAGCCUCCUCUCCUGUCUUAAACUUCUGUCAAAUAAUAUCUCUCUCCCUCAAUGGUAUUAUUACAAUCUUGUUGCAUUUGUUCCUUCCUUUUUGGGAUUUCCUAAGUUAGAACAAUAUGGUGAAAAAAUAAAGCAAUUCCUCAAAAUAAAUGAACUUUCUCAACAGUGAAUGGAUCACUUUGGUUAACUGCAGUUUUCAGUGUAUGGUAAUCCAACUCCAAAUCACAAAAUCCUAAAUUGGGGCAGGGGAGUGACCUGAGAGUUCUCACAUUUUGAGGAUUGGUGGUGAAGAAGCAGUAGGAGACCCACAACACUCAGGAAAGGAAAAUGAAUUUGAAGCUUUGUCUCUUCAACAGAAAUUCUGGAAAGUUCAUUCUGAAUAUGUCAGCAGGCGGUUAUAUGCCAUGAAAAACAUAGAGAUAUCCCUGCCUAUCUGACAGUGACAUUGUGGGGAUCAAAUGAAUGGGAGUAUGUGGUACUAUUAUCAACAUCAUGGAGAGGGAACAUUGGACAGUGAAAGGCCCACUGGAUCUGAAGUAUAAUAUGUGAGUUCCAACUUACACCUGUGUGAGUACAACUCUUACUACUUUCUUGAGCAAGCCUCUGUGGGCCUCAGCUCAUCCACAAAACGAGGAGGUGGGUUAAGGUCUUUUAGCUCUAAGCGCAUGAUCAACACUGCUUUUGAUUUAU